UGCUGCGGCGCUGGCGAUCUUGCCGAUCGUUGGCUGUAAUGCGGAUUCAUCGCGGGCGUGCUCUCGUCGGUAUUGGAUUCUUUCUGACGCUGUCGCUGAUCAGGAGCACCCGGAUCGGAUUAUCUGGAUGCGAUCAAGCAAAGGAUGUAGCAAAUGCCGCGAGUGAUCGAUCGCCAGAUAAGUUCUUGCUCCCUCAAUCUCUCUAGGAUUGCAUGGAGUUUAGAUUGUUCUUGUGUGUGAUUGAUUGGAAUGUGUUUGAUUAAUCUCCCCCAAAUGUUUUUGAUUUUUAUAUUCCUUGCGACUGUCCAUCCUUGGCGGGCACAUGUCCAGUGUCUUUUCUGGUCUGCGAAUGUUUGAGGAACGAUUCCCCUAGCUUGGCUUUGGACAAAAGCCAGCCUUUUCAGAUAAGUCGGCUUGAGAGGCAACUAACUAUGAUGAUUGUCGAUCGAUGCGUGCUUUUGCCUUACCUGUAUUCUUCUUUUUCUUCGCAUUGUUUGCCUCGGUUUGAGCCGAGGCGAGAGAGAGAGAGAGAGAGAGAAAGAGAGAGUUUUUGCUCGCUCUUGAAACCAAAGCGUCUACAUUAUAUCGUAUGCGCAUAAAGAUGACUGCUGUCGAGUCCUCCUAGUGGCAGUUAAACUGGGACCAGUUUUAACAACCUUUUGUGGUGGGCUCACGGCAAGCUGGAGCCGCUGGUUGUGGCUCCGUGUGAGAUAUGCUGCUGCUGAUAUGUAUGUGCUAUAGGGGCCCGUGCGCACGCUAUCCCCUCCCCUUAGAAAAAAGAAGAAUGCUUUGGGUCCCGCGCGACAUUCUCGUGAGAUGGAAAAGGAGUCGUCCCUCCCUUCCCUCCUCCUCCCCCCAAGUUUUUAAGCCUCUCUCUCCACACUAAAUGAUUUUUAGUAUUGACUAUUUGCCUGUGCCUGUGGUUUCUUCUGGCUUGCCUGUUUCGUUGUCUGGCUUGGGCCUCCCUACCUAGUCUGAGUUCUAGAACUGUUGCAUUGCCAGGGUCUAGUUUACUUUCACAUCAUACCUAUGGACAUCAUAGGAUGUUUGUACUGUGGUGUUGGGGGCUUCCAGCAUGCAGGUCUACGGGGGUGUGCUGCUGUGCUGUGUGCACUGUUGGGGUUUUGUUUGCCUUCUUUCUAACUGUGAAAGGAUACAAAUCACUGCACUGGCUUCCCUCCUAGUACCUCACAUGCAUUUGAUCAUCAUGUGUGGCCUACUAACUCCGUCUUAGCUUACACCCCCUUCUUUCGGCCAAUUGUCUCUACCUGCAUUACCAGUUGAAUCAAUGAAUGCGUAUCAGCUGGUCAGCCAGACGAACCGAGGAAAAUUUAAAAACUGAGCUCGACACUUGAUGUGUCGAAUGGAUGGGAAUGUUUAGGAUCCGUCACGACCACACGUUGUGUGCGUGACAUGUAAGAUAUGCGAUCAGAUAUCGCUCUUGGAAGAGUGUGAUCUCCUCUUUCCGUUCGUAGAAUUACUAAAUAGCGCCUACGGCUACAAGGGGGAAAGCCUCCUUUAAUCUCAUGCUGAUUGUCGGCAUUGCAUCCUGACUGUUCUGCAAUCUUUGAUGUAGAUAGCUAUCGGCUUACAACCCCGUACUGGCUAUAGAGCCAGCUUUGGCUUGUUCUUGGUUGUCCUUCUUGGUUCUUUAAAGCAAUUUGAGUGAUUACUAUAUUCUAGCUCAGAACUCAGAAGUUCAUAGCUUCUAAUAAUAAAAUUUGGAUGUUUUUUGCAGGGAAAAUCUCACCGCAGUAGCUGGUUCUGCUUGUACUGGUGGCUGCUGAUGAUGGGAACUGGUGAACAGAAGCGAAGAGAUACAAGUAGGUAGGGGCCUCAACUCUCACAGCGCUGAAGCAGCUAUACUCUGCACCGCAAACUUAAUGACAAGUUUGGAACAGCAGGUGUGUAUUGGUGCAAGGAAGAUGGGAUUGGAGUCGGGAGUGGAUGGAUGGGAUGGGACUGGUAAAGCAGUCUCUGCUCGGGUGUGCCAGAGAAGGCGGAGACUCUCUCAUCGCACAAGAGCUGAGAUGUGACUCUUCACUUAGUCCUUGGUAGAGCUGGGAAGGAAAGAAGACCCCUUCAUAGAGAGCCUGCCCGUGGUAUGUACAGCGAUCACAUUUUACUCUCUUUGACAAAGACGAUCUGGGGAGAAUCUAUUUGACUCAGACUAGAUACGAACAAAUUUUCUAAAGGAAAUCGAAAUCGGCAGAGAAUAUGAUAUGAAUGCUACAAGAAAAGCGGAGUGAUUCUGUUAGCAACAUUGGUUUGAGUAGCCAACCGGCCAGCCUGCCUACCACUAGCCAGCCACCGUUGGAAAGAAUGCCAAGUUUCGGCUGAAGUACAUGCACAAAAAUACAUGGAACCAACUCUGGUGUUUGAGAAAGGAAGAUGCCUUUUCCGGUUUCCAAAACAACCCCGGAGGGAGCGGAAGCAUGGAAGGUGAACAAUGCGGAAGCAGCAACGAAUAUAGGGACAAAGGCAACAAAAAACAAGACACAUUCCGGAACAUCUGGCUGGGGAGCAGACACCAGGCAACCAGCAAAGGUUUCCUGCUAUGGGCUUGAUGAGAGCCCCUCAAAAGCAGCGGGUCUGUGCAAGUGGUGGCGGUUUCUUCGACUGCAGCACGCUGAGCUACUCCCAAGGUAGAGUUAACUAAACUGUGCCUCGGUAAGGUCCCUUGUGCACGCCAUGGCUGGUACCAUCAUCAUGUCGACCAUAUGGCUUGUCAAGUCGUGCCCGUUUAUGCUCCAGUUUGGGCUUCCUUUCUGGCCCAGGCGGGGAGCCACACUUGCCACGGCUCCAGAACUUUGAAAUCAACCAGCAGGAAGUAGCAUGCUGCGUGUCGAAGCUUUGGAUGGCAAUAGAUCGAGAUGUGGAAUCGUCUAUCGAGUGCGUGCGUGGGCUUGUUGGGCUGGUAUUUCAUGGGCUCUGUGUCGUGUGGCCGACAUGCUCGACUUACGAGACAUGGGGCUCACGUCCGACCACCAGGAGUCUGAAAUGAAUACUUACAGCAGUUUUACUGGAGAAAAGAAGGAAAAGAGGCGAAUUUCCUGGUUUUGGAGAAUCUAAUUCGGUUGCAGGUGCAUCACUUAUGUCGCAUGAAUAAUGCAAGGAGAAAUCAGGCGAGCACAUGAGAUUUUGGAAGUUGACUGGAGGAGCUGGAAAAAAAAACUGGCAAAUAGUUUAUGGCACAGGAACGAUUCAGGAGGAGGAGGACCUCGCUGCUCAUCAUUUGGCGCCUUAAAUGCGAAACACUCUUCUUCGUCUCCCUCGGAAACGAGGCGAUGGAUCGCGAAGGAGUACACACACCAAAGCCAAAGGUUCUAUGCCAGGAAGGAGUUUUGGGACCCAUCCCUGUUAAAACACCGCGCAUUUUCUCCGCGAGCAUUUUAUUCACUUGGAUCACCGACAGGAUUGUUCCAACGAUCAGACAAACAAAACCGUUUAAGAGCGGCCAAAGUUGUGUGUGUGUGUGAUUUUGCUUUCUUACUCUAGACAAUGUUGUUAUUAAACACUAUAGAAUAAAAGGUGGUGGUGGCGUCACCCAUUUGAUC
This is a long non-coding RNA of Selaginella moellendorffii, 3557 nucleotides long. RefSeq lists it as uncharacterized. The record is from RefSeq and is a predicted model, not a curated record. The transcript is spliced from 11 exons. NCBI's taxonomy places the organism in Eukaryota, Viridiplantae, Streptophyta, Lycopodiopsida, Selaginellales, Selaginellaceae.